AUUGAACGCUGGCGGCAGGCUUAACACAUGCAAGUCGAGCGGGGUGAUGGUGCUUGCACUAUCACUUAGCGGCGGACGGGUGAGUAAUGCUCAGGAAUCUGCCUAUUAGUGGGGGACAACAUCUCGAAAGGGAUGCUAAUACCGCAUACGUCCUACGGGAGAAAGCAGGGGAUCACUUGUGACCUUGCGCUAAAAGAUGAGCCUAAGUCGGAUUAGCUAGUUGGUGGGGUAAAGGCCUACCAAGGCGACGAUCUGUAGCGGGUCUGAGAGGAUGAUCCGCCACACUGGGACUGAGACACGGCCCAGACUCCUACGGGAGGCAGCAGAGGGGAAUAUUGGACAAUGGGGGGAACCCUGAUCCAGCCAUGCCGCGUGUGUGAAGAAGGCCUUAUGGUUGUAAAGCACUUUAAGCGAGGAGGAGGCUCUUUUGGUUAAUACCCAAGAUGAGUGGACGUUACUCGCAGAAUAAGCACCGGCUAACUCUGUGCCAGCCGCCGCAGUAA
RNAcentral lists this ribosomal RNA (503 nucleotides) under uncultured bacterium. Its description in RNAcentral is "partial 16S ribosomal RNA". It matches the Rfam family "Bacterial small subunit ribosomal RNA", at positions 30 to 523 of the family's 1533-position model. The record is from RNAcentral.